This 372-nucleotide ribosomal RNA is filed under the name uncultured organism. RNAcentral describes it as "bacterial SSU rRNA". It matches the Rfam family "Bacterial small subunit ribosomal RNA", at positions 526 to 896 of the family's 1533-position model. The record is from RNAcentral.
CGUAGGGUGCGAGCGUUAAUCGGAAUUACUGGGCGUAAAGGGUGCGCAGGCGGUUAUGAAAGACAGGCGUGGAAUCCCCGGGCUUAACCUGGGAACUGCGUUUGUGACUACAUGACUCGAGUACGGCAGAGGGGGGUGGAAUUCCACGUGUAGCAGUGAAAUGCGUAGAGAUGUGGAGGAACACCGAUGGCGAAGGCAGCCCCCUGGGCCAGUACUGACGCUCAUGCACGAAAGCGUGGGGAGCAAACAGGAUUAGAUACCCUGGUAGUCCACGCCCUAAACGAUGUCAACUAGUUGUUGGUAGGGUAAAACCUAUUAGUAACGUAGCUAACGCGUGAAGUUGACCGCCUGGGGAGUACGGCCGCAAGGUUA